Molecule: long non-coding RNA, 2302 nt
Organism: Diachasmimorpha longicaudata
Lineage: Eukaryota; Metazoa; Arthropoda; Insecta; Hymenoptera; Braconidae
Exons: 3
Source: RefSeq, a predicted model, not a curated record
GCCAUUGAACUUCCGGGAAUGGAGGCGAAAUGGAUGAGGAAUAGAGUUACAAAGUAUGUACGCCAUAAUGCAUUAUGAAUAGGCGUGUAUUGAGAAUUGCGUGCCUACCAAUCUGCUAGUGCAUGAGGGCCGAGUGGUAUGGAGUUAUAAAGGCGAGAAUGAGACGACGUGUGUGGUCAAAAUGUUGGUGAUUUUUUAUAAAUUCAUGCGGCCUCCGCUGUAAACUCCUACGGUGUGUGAGAACAUUCUGUGGGAUCAAUUUACGGAUAUGAUUCAGAACCACAACGUGAGGAGAAUCGUCCAAGACUCUAACGAUGAAAUUCUGCUGAUGCUGCAAUUCAACACACGUUCGUGGUCUUCCGCAAGACGUAGACCGAGUGUCUUGUCUCCCUGGUGACGCUUCCUAAUUCCCGGACAGCAGCUGAGUUCAGAAGAUCUAAUUUCCCGGGCUGCCAUUCUAGGUAUGAGGGACGGAAUCGGUGCGCCCUUCUCAACUCAUCCGUGGACAGACGUAGGAAGGUUACGGAUCGCUUCAACUUGUGAAACAUCGAACAGUCAAGCACUUGUGCCUCACUGCGAGCUGCUAGGCAACCAUUGGGCUCCCGUAGUCUCCAGCUAACUGUUUGCGUUUGACCGGAUUACAGAAAUACAUGUGUAUGGGUUGGGCCAAGUAAAGGGCAGAGAGUGAAGAGGUUAGAAGGCGUGUGACAGAACUCCCGAUGCACUAGGUACCUCGGAUUUGCUGAGUUUUAUCGAGGUACUGGUUGAGCGGUAGCACAACUCUGGAUUACCACUAGGAUUUACGGUAGACAAUUUUGUAACGGCAUGAGUUUACGUGGGGGUGUACCUAGAAAAUGCAAGCCACGUAAUGCCACGGCCACGGCGACUAACCGCUCCGGUAUUACCGUGUAUGCAGAGAGAGAGAGAGAGAGAGGCUCACCUGGAUAUAUCAACGGCCAUGUUAGUCAGCCGACACAGAUGGCAAGUCCUCCUGAAUCCGCUGUGAUCGAGAAUAGAGGGAUAAAAAUGCUUCGAUAAUAAUUACGCGACAGCUACGUAAUUCGUAAAUGAGAAUAACCGUUCAAUAAAUUUUAAGGGAAGGUCCAGUGAUGAAUGUGAGCGACCAAGUAAGGUGCCUUAGAAAAUUAAUUUUUUAACAUCAUAAACCAGACAAAAGAUUGCAGCGCUGCCCGCUCUCAGCCAAGUGAACAGCACGGACUCCAGUUGAACCAAUGAAUUACCAGGAGACGUGAUAAAACUCGCUGUGAAGUAGAAAAAUAUGAAAAAUUUUAUCAACUGCAUCGUAAACCUUGGCCGGCUCCCCUUAUCACUCUCUCCUCGCCAGUGGAGACCAUAAAAUGAUAAUAUUCUCCCCUGGAAAUGUCCAGAUUUCCAUCAAUUACUCGAAAGUCUCCGAUAAUAUUGCAAAAUCUUCCCCGUGAAAGAUGAAAAUGUCGCACUUGCGGAUGGGAAAAAAAAUAACUGAGAACAUCUCGAACGAAGAGAAAUGUUGAUUCCUGUAUAUUUACACCAUGGGAUGAUACAUGCGAUCCAAUGUAAAUGCAUGUACCACGUUGACUCCAUGAGAGAAGCUGAAUAAAUGUCACGAAAUACCGUAUAGUUUCUCGGACGCUAUGGUGUAUAUUCGCAGUAUGUAUCACCGUAACCGGUCACCCCCAUACAUUCGGUGGAACGUCAGGUGGACACGUUACACCGCGCGGUGCGAGUGUACCAACAUAACUCUGGCUUGUCCCGUGAGAGAAGCAUAUACACCGUACAUACAUAACGCAAAUACCGCUUGAUAUUCAAGUUUAAAAUCCCUUUUCGCGCCUCAACAAAGAGCCACACUGACUACCCCGACUAUUACACGAUAGUAGACUAGACGAAGAAGUGGCAGACGAGUGCGGCCAGACUAUCAUACACACACGUUAACCAUGAGUUUUCGGUGUUAAAACAAGUUGAUGGACACUGGACAUUGGGUUAUAUCUGUAUGAUGAAAGCCAACGGUCUGGAGGGGGGGUGGGAAGGUUGAAAGGGGGCCCACAGCUUUGCGUCAUUUCGAUAUCACGCCUAUUCGACCGGAAGAUCAAAGGCCUUGGGUAGGCGAUGCUGGGUAAAUAUGGACACCAACAUUUAGUCACUGUGACCGGCACUUGCCGUACGAAAUUGAUUUACCCGUUCACCCUAAAAGAUAAAUAGAAUACAGUGAAAAAAAAAAUUUUGAGUGUUCACUACACCGGACAUUUUGACAUUUUAAUUCAAUUUUUAAUAUGUUCUCCUCCUUCAUUGGACUUUUACAGCC